AAUGUACUCCCUCCGUCCGGAAAUACUCGCCGGAGGAAUGGAUGUAUCUAGAUGUAUUUUAGUUUUAGAUACAUUCAACUUUAUGCAUUUCUCCGACAAGUAUUUCCGAACGGAGGAAGUAAAAU
Molecule: non-coding RNA, 125 nt
Organism: Triticum aestivum (bread wheat)
Lineage: Eukaryota; Viridiplantae; Streptophyta; Magnoliopsida; Poales; Poaceae
Source: Rfam